CCUACGGGGGGCAGCAGUGGGGGAUAUUGCACAAUGGGGGGAACCCUGAUGUAGCGACGCCGCGUGGGUGAAGAAGCGCCUCGGCGCGUAAAGCUCUGUCAGCAGGGAAGAAAAUGACGGUACCUGAAGAAGAAGCCCCGGCUAACUACGUGCCAGCAGCCGCGGUAAUACGUAGGGGGCAAGCGUUAUCCGGAUUUACUGGGUGGAAAGGGGGCGCAGACGGCGAUGCAAGCCAGGAGUGAAAGCCCGGGGCCCAACCCCGGGACUGCUCUUGGAACUGCGUGGCUGGAGUGCAGGAGGGGCAGGCGGAAUUCCUGGUGUAGCGGUGAAAUGCGUAGAUAUCAGGAGGAACACCGGUGGCGAAGGCGGCCUGCUGGACUGCAACUGACGUUGAGGCCCGAAAGCGUGGGGAGCAAACAGGAUUAGAUACCCGAGUAGUC
RNAcentral lists this ribosomal RNA (440 nucleotides) under uncultured bacterium. RNAcentral's name for it is "partial 16S ribosomal RNA". It matches the Rfam family "Bacterial small subunit ribosomal RNA", at positions 338 to 795 of the family's 1533-position model. The record is from RNAcentral.